GUAUUCUACAUUUUUGUCCUAUAUUUACCCAGUGACAAUUUUAUGAUUGGUUUAUAGGCUACUACAAUCACCUUUUCCCCCAAUCUUUUUUUUUUUUUUUAGACAGGACAUAUAUUUUUAUAGUUUCUAUACUAAAUGAUACGUCAGUUAGCACUGCAUUAUUCAGAAACUUAAUUUGUUUAUUACCUGGAGAUGACUUGAAAAAAUGCACAUAAACCAUAUAAUCUCUCUAUCAUGUGUUUAUUGUCUUCAAGUCAGCCAAAACAUUUCUGCUUUUUAUUCAGCUCAGCUACGGCAGAUAUUGGUUUGCCUACAGCGAUAACUGGAUGCUUUUGUCCAUAUUAGGGAUUUCCUGCAUGUCAUACACACUAAACAAUGCUGGGUUAUUUAAUCUACCCAACCGCUGGGUUAUGAAAUGCUUUACCCAUUAUGGGUUAUUUAUAUGGAAUUUGGGUUAUUUUGUGCAACUCAUGCGUUGAGUCAAAAUCCAUCAACCCAAUUUAUAUCGGUUGACCCAGCACGUGGGUUGUUUGUGCUUCGAACCUCAUCAUCACCAGAGUCCACACACCGAGCGCUCGUCACAGCAGAGAACCUGACUGCUCAUGCAGCGAGGCCAAUAAAUAAUAAAAGAUCAAUGGACAGCUUUGUCAUUAACACUGACAGACCUUGUCGAAAGAUUUAAAGAGGAGGGGAUUGAUGAAGAUAGUUUUCUUUUAGAUGAGGCUACCAUCAACCAGUUGAUCCUAAAACAGGAGGGGAAGCUGACAUUGCCCCUGGAUGGAUUAACACCAGGUAAUAUUCUUGUCAGCAGAUCUUGUAAAUGCAGGGAAUGCGAUGGAACAUGCGUGAUAUUUAUGCAAUUUUAUGUGAUGAAAUUGGAGGUACAUAAACCAUAUAAUCUCUCUAUCAUGUGUUUAUUGUCUUCACGUCAGCCAAAACAUUUCUGCUUUUUAUUCAGCUCAGCUACAGCAGAUAUUGGUUUGCCUACAGCGAUAACUGGAUGCUUUUGUCCAUAUUAGGGAUUUCCUGCACGUCAUACAUGAUCACUUCUAUGAGUCCGUUUUGGACGAGUAUAAAUGAAACAUACACUGCCUGAGAGUGUGUAGUUGAUGUUAACAUUGCCUCAUUCUGGACACAAAUAAAAUGUCAGGUCAUGCAUAGAUUAUCCUAAUG
This is a long non-coding RNA of Cyprinus carpio (common carp), 1173 nucleotides long. NCBI's taxonomy places the organism in Eukaryota, Metazoa, Chordata, Actinopteri, Cypriniformes, Cyprinidae. The record is from Ensembl.